This 215-nucleotide unclassified non-coding RNA is filed under the name soil metagenome. RNAcentral's name for it is "partial internal transcribed spacer 1". The record is from RNAcentral.
AUGAACCUUUGAGGGUUGAGCUGGGCGUUUUAUUAUUAUUCGCAUGUGCUUGCCCUCUCAUCCCUUUAUAUACACCUGUGCACUUUUGAAGGGAGACAUUAGUAGACAUUCACUUUGUCGAAGGUAUCUCCCUUUACACUACAUACUCUAAUGAUUACUUUUGAAUGUUUAAAAAAAAAAAAAUUAAAAAAAACGCUUAAACAGCAUUUAAUUAC